UUUGAGGAUCGUAAUGUGGAAAAACUGAGACAUAUUGUUGAAAUUGCGCUUAUUUAUUAUAAGAUUCAGGCUGUUGCAUCUGUUUUAUAUCACCAUGAACAGAGAAUAAUUUGUAGGUUGUUAUUUAUUAGUUAUUACGCGGCGGUUUUUACUGGUCUGACCGACUUGUGAUCAAACUGGGCUGUGUAUGUCCCAUGAACCUGUCUGACAGACUUCUUUAAAAAGGAUUACAAUAUUCAACAUGUAUCAACACUCCAUCGACAGUUUGUGUAAAUAUGACAAUGCCAUUUGUUUAUUUUUCUUUUAAUAUACAGUCAACAUUACAAGAGCAGCACAUCUUUACAAUAAAAUAACUACAAAAUAAAAAUAACAAUAUUCUAACGUAGCCAAAUUCAGUUCUUUAGUAGAUAUUUUCAAUACUGUUAAAGUGUCAGAUAAACAUGUCUCAUGAAUGGGACUGAUGUAUAUAUUCAUAUAUAUAUUUAUUUAUUAUUUAAUAUAUUUUAUUUUUCUCUGUUUGUCACCAGUCGUAAGAAAACGCACAUUAAGAGCAGAAUGUAAUGACGAAUGGGUCAUCAGUGGUUUUGGUAUGGGAUGAAAUGUUCCUGCUAAUUCAUAUUUUGACAUAUAAAAAUAAAUGAAUGAAAUAUUUCAAUAUUGAACCCAAACCUCUUUUCAAUUUUGUUUUUUAUCUUUUUCCAGCACGCCCUGAUUGGUAUUUUAUCUCCCUGUGUUUGCUGCUCUUCAUUGGACGAAUGGAAGCAUCCACCGUAACUACAGACGCCGUCCUCAGAGCCUUUCAGAGAGGUAGGAGAAGAAGAAAACAACCCUACAUCAAUACUACAGUUACUCACAGCAACUAGUGUUUAUCCCACCUAGAAAGCAACACUCUUCAAGUAAGACAAACCUUGUGUCUCAAUUCACGUAAUUGCGUACUUUUUGAGUGUUCACAUUGUCAGUUAUGGCAAAAGAAAAAUGUAAAAAGUGUACUGUGAGUACCCGAAUGGUGCGUUAACGGUCAAGAAGUUGAGUGUGGACACUUCUCACCCUCAGUGGUCGCCAUUAUGGCUACAUAGCAGACAUGGAGGGACCACUGGUGUUGUGAAAAUGCUGGCCAAGGAAACUGCUGCUGUACAAAUGUAAGGUAUGUAUGUAUGUUUUAUGUAUAUAUAUAUAUUGGCAGUCGAAUGUUGGCGCCUAUGCUCCCAAGAAGCACUAAAAUGUUUAGUGCAGCUUUAAGUUGAAAUUCAGCGUCAAUAAAUCAGAUUUAUGUAUUUGUUAUGACUAAUAUAGAUGUUGUUCCUGUUAUUGUAAUCAUUAUUAUGAAGAAAUAGCGUCUACAAUCAUCGAAUCAUAUCGGUCAGAAGUUUCUUUAAGGGCUUGACCAGGGAUCACGGGGCCAUGAGGUUGAAUUUGGCCGACCAAAUUAGUGAAAACUAUGUCAAAUUAAAUCAAAAAAGUUAAAAAUAUGAAUUGCUGUUCAUGCUGUUUUAUUUUUUUGUGAGGUGCAAACACUUUAAAUAUGCAAGGACCCUAAUUAUUAUUUAUUUUUCAUAAUCUGAGCACAGGGAAUCAGUCAGUUAUGGGAACUUUAGCAUAUUUAUAAUGGAAUAUAAUCUUUUUUUUUUUCUCCUGUGUCCCAUUAUUACGUUUCAGUGCUGGCCCUCUAAAGGAAACACAUUGGGGAGUCCUGUUCUUGAUCACUUACUAGCUUUUUCGGGGCUUUCAAGCACACAACCUGCUCACUCUUAUUUCUACGUCUUAUUUAUGUCAACCUGAGCGAAGACCAUCAUCUGAUGAAGACCAUGACAAGAGCUCAUCACUGCAGGUUUGGGUUCACACGUGCACUGUGCACCAUCUCAUUACAUACAUGAAGUGUAAUGUUGUUGUAAACACACGAGCAGAAGCUUCGUGUGUUCACUUUGGUCCGUGCAUGGUCAUGAAAAGCAGCAGCAGCACAUUGACAUGACUACUUCACUACAGAACGUCAGCACCACCAGGCUAAAAUGAUUUCACUGAAGUGUUUUUAUUACAACGUGUUUUUAUACUGAUACAUGGUCUAUUCAUACUAUCAUCUAACCACAGAUGCGACACUAACCAAUCAUGUUCGUCAACCGGUGUGUGGAAGAGUUGUGUAUGCGUGUGGACUUCAGAUUUGAGGUGGACCUGAGAACGCUGUUUUGAGUUUGACAGCUGCAUCGAACGCUCUGAACUCGGGUCUGGAAAAAAGACGCAGACGCUUUAUUUAAACAUAUUCAACAAUAAUUUCCAGGACAUUUUUUCUGGUAAGAAUAAUAUAAAUUUGGUUCUCUCAGUUUGUACACUUCAAACGAAUUAACUGCGAUUAACUGCUUAUGUAAUCCAGCCUUUCAUUCAAUUUGCAAUUAUGUGACCUUCGUCUACAUCGCCCAAUAAUCACUGAUGUUUAUCUUGUCUACUUUCCCUUGAAUUAGUGCCAAAUAAAAUGAGACUUUCCUGGAAAUUAGUAGAAAAAUUACAGACCCAUGGAACAAAAACCCUCUUUGUGUGACAGCAGGAAGAUAAACCCUGACAAGCUGUCCUGCUAACAAACAAACUGGAUGGUCCCCGACGUCAUCGAUUCAAACUGCACGCUGGAAAAAAAACAAGUGGCGACGUGACGGAGCUAGUUGUCUACAGUGAUGCACAAAUAGUGGCGUUAACGGCAAAAGCACUUCAUGGAGGUGACGUGAUUUGAUUGUAGAGAGAUCGGGAUAAUCCUCUGAUGAUGGCGAUGAUGGCGGCGGCGAUGAUGAUGGUGAUGAUGAUGUUUGCUCAUUGUCUGAGAAAGCCUACAUAAACACUUGUACUUCCCUGAAUCUGGGCAGAGGAGAGCAGAUAAAUAUGACAUCUAUUUGUGUUGUCCAUGCUAAGAUUAAAAUAGUGCCAAGCGUACUCAUUCAUAUAUUUUUUUUCUUUUUUAACACUCACAAAAGACUAAGGCAAUAAAUAAUACUACUCAGAUAUGAUGAGCACUUCGUUAAUAGUUCUUCUAUCUCUAUAAAGCAGUUUGACACGUGGUGAUAUCUUCAGUGGGCUACACAGAUACCUGAGGGAGCCACAGAAUACCAGCUGAGAAAAAAACAAAAAAAA
Larimichthys crocea (large yellow croaker) is the source of this 3111-nucleotide long non-coding RNA. RefSeq lists it as uncharacterized. The transcript has 2 exons. Lineage: Eukaryota; Metazoa; Chordata; Actinopteri; Sciaenidae. The record is from RefSeq and is a predicted model, not a curated record.